GUUAUAGGGUCAAGCGAAUAAGUGCAUGUGGUGGAUGCCUUGGCGAUCACAGGCGAUGAAGGACGUAGUAGCUUGCGAAAAGCUGCGGGGAGCUGGCAAACGAGCUUUGAUCCGCAGAUGUCCGAAUGGGGAAACCCGGCCCGUAUGGGUCAUCCCUUGCUGAAUACAUAGGCAAGGGAGGCGAACGCAGUGAACUGAAACAUCUAAGUAGCUGCAGGAAAAGAAAUCAACCGAGAUUCCCAAAGUAGUGGCGAGCGAAAUGGGAACAGCCUUGUACUCUUUAGCAGUAUUGUUAGCGGAACGGAAUGGAAAGUCCGGCCAUAGUGGGUGAUAGCCCCGUACGCGAAAACAGUAUUGUGGAACUAGGUGUACGACAAGUAGGGCGGGACACGUGAAAUCCUGUCUGAAGAUGGGGGGACCAUCCUCCAAGGCUAAAUACUCGUGAUCGACCGAUAGUGAACCAGUACCGUGAGGGAAAGGCGAAAAGAACCCCGGGAGGGGAGUGAAAUAGAUCCUGAAACCGCAUGCAUACAAACAGUCGGAGCCUGGAAACGGGUGACGGCGUACCUUUUGUAUAAUGGGUCAGCGACUUACAUUCAGUGGCAAGCUUAACCGAUUAGGGAAGGCGUAGCGAAAGCGAGUCCGAAUAGGGCGUUCAGUCGCUGGGUGUAGACCCGAAACCAAGUGAUCUAUCCAUGGCCAGGUUGAAGGUGCGGUAACACGUACUGGAGGACCGAACCCACUAACGUUGAAAAGUUAGGGGAUGAGCUGUGGAUAGGGGUGAAAGGCUAAACAAACUUGGAAAUAGCUGGUUCUCUCCGAAAACUAUUUAGGUAGUGCCUCGUGUCUCACCUUCGGGGGUAGAGCACUGUCAUGGUUGGGGGGUCUAUUGCUGAUUACCCCGCCAUAGCAAACUCCGAAUACCGAAGAGUGCAAUCACGGGAGACAGACAUCGGGUGCUAACGUCCGGUGUCAAGAGGGAAACAACCCAGACCGCCAGCUAAGGUCCCUAAGAUUGGCUAAGUGGGAAACGAAGUGGGAAGGCUAAAACAGUCAGGAGGUUGGCUUAGAAGCAGCCACCCUUUAAAGAAAGCGUAAUAGCUCACUGAUCGAGUCGUCCUGCGCGGAAGAUGUAACGGGGCUAAGCCAGUCACCGAAGCUGCGGAUGCACGUAAGUGCAUGGUAGGAGAGCGUUCUGUAAGCCUGUGAAGGUGUCUUGUAAAGGAUGCUGGAGGUAUCAGAAGUGCGAAUGCUGACAUGAGUAGCGAUAAAGGGGGUGAAAGGCCCCCUCGCCGUAAGCCCAAGGUUUCCUACGCAACGUUCAUCGGCGUAGGGUGAGUCGGCCCCUAAGGCGAGGCAGAGAUGCGUAGCUGAUGGGAAGCAGGUUAAUAUUCCUGCACCGUCGUAUGAUGCGAUGGGGGACGGAUCGCGGAAGGUUGUCCGGGUGUUGGAAGUCCCGGUCCCUACAUUGGAGAUGGCACUUAGGCAAAUCCGGGUGCGUGAUUCAAGGGUGUGGGGCGAGCGACGUUAGGUCGCGAAGCAAUUGGAAGUGGUUCCAAGAAAAGCCUCUAAGCUUCAGUCAUACGAGACCGUACCGCAAACCGACACAGGUGGGCGAGAUGAGUAUUCUAAGGCGCUUGAGAGAACUCGGGAGAAGGAACUCGGCAAAUUGGUACCGUAACUUCGGGAUAAGGUACGCCCUUGUAGUUUGACUGGCUCGCGCCAGAAGGAUGAAGGGGUUGCAAUAAAAUGGUGGCUGCGACUGUUUAAUAAAAACACAGCACUCUGCAAACACGAAAGUGGACGUAUAGGGUGUGACGCCUGCCCGGUGCCGGAAGAUUAAAUGAUGGGGUGCAAGCUCUUGAUUGAAGUCCCGGUAAACGGCGGCCGUAACUAUAACGGUCCUAAGGUAGCGAAAUUCCUUGUCGGGUAAGUUCCGACCUGCACGAAUGGCGUAACGAUGGCCACACUGUCUCCUCCCGAGACUCAGCGAAGUUGAAGUGUUUGUGAUGAUGCAAUCUCCCCGCGGCUAGACGGAAAGACCCCAUGAACCUUUACUGUAGCUUUGCAUUGGACUUUGAACCGAUCUGUGUAGGAUAGGUGGGAGGCUUUGAAACCGGGACGCUAGUUUCGGUGGAGCCGACCUUGAAAUACCACCCUGGUUUGUUUGAGGUUCUAACCUUGGCCCGUGAAUCCGGGUCGGGGACAGUGCAUGGUAGGCAGUUUGACUGGGGCGGUCUCCUCCCAAAGUGUAACGGAGGAGUUCGAAGGUACGCUUGGUACGGUCGGACAUCGUACCUAAAGUGCAAUGGCAAAAGCGUGCUUAACUGCGAGACCGACAAGUCGAGCAGGUGCGAAAGCAGGACAUAGUGAUCCGGUGGUUCUGUAUGGAAGGGCCAUCGCUCAACGGAUAAAAGGUACUCUGGGGAUAACAGGCUGAUACCGCCCAAGAGUUCAUAUCGACGGCGGUGUUUGGCACCUCGAUGUCGGCUCAUCUCAUCCUGGGGCUGUAGCCGGUCCCAAGGGUAUGGCUGUUCGCCAUUUAAAGAGGUACGUGAGCUGGGUUUAAAACGUCGUGAGACAGUUUGGUCCCUAUCUGCCGUGGGCGUUGGAAUCUUGACGGGGCUGCUCCUAGUACGAGAGGACCGGAGUGGACGUACCGCUGGUGUACCUGUUGUCUCGCCAGAGGCAUCGCAGGGUAGCUAUGUACGGAAGAGAUAACCGCUGAAAGCAUCUAAGCGGGAAACUCGCCUGAAGAUGAGGAUUCCCUGGAGACUUGAUCUCCCUGAAGGGUCGUUCGAGACCAGGACGUUGAUAGGCUGGGUGUGGAAGCGCAGUAAUGCGUUCAGCUAACCAGUACUAAUUGCCCGUGCGGCUUGAUCCUAUAACC
RNAcentral lists this ribosomal RNA (2890 nucleotides) under Ralstonia solanacearum. RNAcentral's name for it is "23S ribosomal RNA". It matches the Rfam family "Bacterial large subunit ribosomal RNA". Lineage: Bacteria; Pseudomonadati; Pseudomonadota; Betaproteobacteria; Burkholderiales; Burkholderiaceae. The record is from RNAcentral.